CUGUCUUCUCUUGUUCCCAGACAGUAGUGACACCCAUCUCUAUCCUUCCUGCUCCUCGCUGGACCUCUGUAGCCGCCAUCAGCAUCUGUCACAACAGGCAUCCCUUAUGGCCCCUCCCUGGCUCAACCACAGGGUUAUCUUAGGGUGCCACAACCACCCUGCUGACAUCAGCCUUGUCUAUACUGUGCUGACCCUGGGAACAAGCACCUUCAGGAAGUGUGGCUUCCAAGCCACAGGGUGGCCAUGACUGCCAACAGGAGGGCAUGGGUGGCGUCCUCCACAGGAGCCUCCAACAAGGGAGAAUUGUAGAGCAACAGAAACAAAGUGUUUGCCGGUACAGCACACAGAAAUCUCAGACAUCCCAAGCACCGCUGACCUGAGAAGAGCGGGGACCAGCCUCUGGCAGGGACUCUGAUCACAAAGAUGAGACAAGACAGUCGAGCCUGCUCCCACCAAGCCUGCACGUCUCCACAUAUUCACUAUGACAGCCACAGCGAGGACUCUUCAGAGCCCAGGAAACAGCUCCAACCCACACCAAUGGGACAAGGAACAAGACAGAACGGGUGGGUUGACACCCCCAAAGCCUGAUCCUCCCCCUGGCUGUCUCUAUUGAGGAAACUCCCCAAGGCAAGGUUUUGGUCAGUCAGCUGAGACCAGGCACUUGGCCAGCAUUCAGACUCGCGCUCUGGCUCUGGGCAGCCAGUCAGCUGUCUCUACAGCCUACUUCCUCUUCAAAGCAGCUCCUCACCCAGCAUGAAUGCCUCUCCAAGGGUGGUAGCCACCACAGCACCUCAGCACUCUGGGGCCAAGGGAAGACCUCACACUACACAGUCCCAAUCUCUGAUUGCUUCAGGAAACAAAGGCUUGAUUCCCCACCCCCAUCUCUCCCUCUCCCUCUCUCUUCAUGGUAUCAGUAUCCCAGUCUGGCUUGGAAUUUAAUACGCAAUUGAGGGUAACCUUGAACUUCGGCCCUCCCCCACUGGUGCUAGCAUUACAGACAUGCCAGGUCUAUGCCACAGAGAGUUUAACCUGGGGCUGUGCAUGCUGGGAAGAAUCCCACCAUCACGCCACUCCUGCAGCAGGGUAGUUGCUCUCCAUAUUUUAACAGCAAUGACACAAUCUGUGUACAGUGAUUGGCGCCUGUAAUCCCAGCACCCAGGAGCCUGAGGCUGGAAGUUAAUUGAGUUCAAGGCCAGCCUGGGUUACACAGUAAAUCUGAGGUCAACCUAGGCUACUCAGAAAGACCCUGUCUCAAAAUAAAAUAAAACGUAAAACUGCUGGGUGAACCGGGCGGUGGUAGUGCACAUCCUCAAUCCCAGAAUUUGGGAGGCAGAGGCAGGAGAAUCUCCUGAGUUCAAGGUCAGCCCAGUCUACAGACUGAGUUCCAUGACAACCAGGACUACACAGAGAAUAACAACAACAACAACAACUUAAAAAAUAGUAACAGUACCCUGCUUUCUUGCUUUUGUCAGCUCACAUUUCCGGCCCCCCCAUAGCAUAUCCCUUCAGAGCAGCGGUUCUCAACCUUCCUAACACUGCGACCUCACAAUCCAGUUCCUCACGUCGUGGUAACCCCAGACCAUAAAAUGAUUUUCAUCGCUAUUUCAUAACCAGGAUUUUGCUACAGUUAUGAAUUGUAAUAUAAAUAUCUGAUAUUUCUGAUGGACUUAGGCAACCCCUGUGAAAGGGUCCUUCCGUGCCCAGAGGGGUCUGCUGCACAUGCUGAGGACCAUGGCUCUAGGGGAGCCUGGGUGUCUCACCAGAGCCUGGCCUCGUGUGCAAACCUUUUCUGUCUCCAGCUGCACUCUCGCCUCCCACCCCAGCAGAGGCUCCCCCAUGUGCCUGAUAUAAGUAAUACCCUUCCACUCAGGGGUGCAGCCCCCUCCCUGACUCCGAAUAAGCGGCCAAGGUAUCCAGAGAGUCCCACAGUACCCUGGCUUCCUAUCUGCACGAAGUUCCCGACAACUUCCUCUGGUUUCAUGCGGAUGACCCAUCUGCUGGGUGAGUACUGCUUCUCCAGCUCCUGUGGGCAAGACAGACCCUGUGAGACCCUCCCCUCUCAGGGGGUGUGUCGACCCCGCCCGUGAUGGCUGAACCUCUCUAUUUUUAUGCUCUGAGAAGACCCUCUAAGGCACACAAAUUUCUAUUAUUAUUAUUAUUAUUUUGGUUUUUUUUCGAGAUAGGGUUUCUCUGUAUAGCUCUGGCUGUCCUGGAACUCACUCAGUAGACCAGGCUGGCCUCCCAGAGUGCUGGGAUUACAGGCGUGUGCUACCACUGCCCGGCGGCACACAACUUUCUACAAGACCUUUCAACUCCCACUCCCCGCUCCCUCCACUAGCUGCCCCAUUAGGUAUUUCAGCAGAGCAUCUAGUGCCCUCAAAAAGGUGUCAGAAGGGUUCCCUAGCAGCAACCGUGCCUUUAGCCAGCUAACAGCCUUCAUGAGACACGAGGUCUGUAAAUGGUACUGGGGGGGGGCACAUUCCUGACACCACAGGACACAGUGAGGCAGCUGUGGCCAUUAGCAAGAUCACGUGACAUAAGCUGUUUUCCUGGCGGACACAUACAGGGUCGCAGGGACAGAGGAAAGGAAGGAGAAGUCAAAGGUCAGUUUACAGAUAUUGCUCAGCCAGAUGGCUGAUGCAGGAGGCUGUGUGGCCAGCGUGUGGCAAAACACAGCUGUAAUCCCAGCUCUCUGUGGAGUCGGAGGGAGGCAGAGGCAGGAGGACAGCCUAGAGCCAAGCAGGUUCCCGAAUAGCCAGGGCUACAGAGUGAGGCUCUGUUCACAAGGAAACGAAA
This is a long non-coding RNA of Apodemus sylvaticus (European woodmouse), 2796 nucleotides long. RefSeq lists it as uncharacterized. Lineage: Eukaryota; Metazoa; Chordata; Mammalia; Rodentia; Muridae. The transcript is spliced from 3 exons. The record is from RefSeq and is a predicted model, not a curated record.